Molecule: unclassified non-coding RNA, 818 nt
Filed under: Hevea brasiliensis (rubber tree)
Lineage: Eukaryota; Viridiplantae; Streptophyta; Magnoliopsida; Malpighiales; Euphorbiaceae
Source: RNAcentral
AAAAAAAUAUUCAUAUGGUAAGCUGGAAGGAGCCGUACUGAAAAAAUAUACACACACCAGCCGAAGUUGCCACGCAUGGCCCCAUUAGCCAAGUAAAAACUGGAAGGAGCCGGCGUGAAAAAUAUACACAAACCAGCCGAAGUUGCGACACAUGACCCUAUUAGCCAAGUAAACCUGUUUCAAGAGGUCAUCAAUUCUUGUUAAUAACAGGUUGUUUGGAACUUCGUACUGUCCAUUUCAACUGUUUGUUGAAUCAAUGUGAGCUGUGUGCCAAGGAAUCCACCUCAAUAAAUCGACUAUCUGCAACCCAAAUUCCAAGAGUUUACUCAGUCCUCAAGGAAGAAACUUCACCUUAUUAUAACCAAAUCAACCAAUCCAACAGCGUUUGAAUGGCACAAUCCUGCCCAAGUCUCAUCCAUUCAUAAAGGAAGAGAUGGUCCAUAAACAUCAUCAAUGAAAUUGUUAGAAUUUGUGCCUGUGCAUCGUUUCUAGAUGAUAUCACUCAACAAUUCACUGAAAUAGCAUAACAAGUGAGAGAUUAAUGCGAUUAAUCUGUUCCGUUUGGUGUCAUGAAAACACCAAUAUGAUUAAAAUGCAACACCUGCUAUAACAGACUCACAGUCUGAUGGCAAAGGAAAACUGACCCGACCACUAGGACCUAUAAACAAUAACUUGCUAAUAGGCUGAAAGGAGACAAGCACAGUAAACUUAGUUACAAAGGCUCAUAAAUAAUUACAAUAGCCCUUAUUAUUAGCUGUUAUCCGUACACUGCAACAAGGGAAAAACAACCAAUUCGAAAAGGAGUAAGAUACAAGGGA